RNAcentral lists this ribosomal RNA (253 nucleotides) under uncultured bacterium. RNAcentral describes it as "partial 16S ribosomal RNA". It matches the Rfam family "Bacterial small subunit ribosomal RNA", at positions 524 to 776 of the family's 1533-position model. The record is from RNAcentral.
UACGUAGGGACCAAGCGUUGUUCGGAUUUACUGGGCGUAAAGGGCGCGUAGGCGGCUUAACAAGUCACUUGUGAAAUCUCCGGGCUUAACUCGGAACGGCCAAGUGAAACUGUUAUGCUAGAGUGCAGAAGGGGCAAUCGGAAUUCUUGGUGUAGCGGUGAAAUGCGUAGAUAUCAAGAGGAACACCUGAGGUGAAGACGGGUUGCUGGGCUGACACUGACGCUGAUGCGCGAAAGCCAGGGGAGCAAACGGG